AGUAACACGUAGAGAACCUGCCUCAGAGAGGGGGAUAACACACCGAAAGGUGUGCUAAUACCGCAUAACAUAUGAGAGGGGCAUCCCUUUCAUAUCAAAGAUUUAUUGCUCUGAGAUGGCCUCGCGUCCAAUUAGCUAGUUGGUGAGGUAACGGCCCACCAAGGCGACGAUUGGUAGCCGGACUGAGAGGUUGAACGGCCACAUUGGGACUGAGACACGGCCCAGACUCCUACGGGAGGCAGCAG
RNAcentral lists this ribosomal RNA (245 nucleotides) under uncultured bacterium. RNAcentral's name for it is "partial 16S ribosomal RNA". It matches the Rfam family "Bacterial small subunit ribosomal RNA", at positions 109 to 354 of the family's 1533-position model. The record is from RNAcentral.